GAAUGGAGUAGGUGUGGGUGUGUGUCCCCAAGCCAAGGCCCAGAGCGCUGUAAAAAUCUGAUUCAAAUACUAGUUGAAUCCAAGUAUUUCUGGGGUGAGAUGGUGCCCUGCAGCUAGCAGUGACCUGAAGCCUCAGCAGUAUUGCCUGUAAUAAUCCAAACCUGGGCAAAAGCUGCCUACAGCACGUUUUUUUUAACUUAUCAGCCUAUCUGUAUAACUCCUACUUCCUGCUGAGGCAUCAACUCUGGUUUAAAUGUUAACUCCACCCACCUGGGUGGAAAAGGGAGGCAAUUUCUAGACUUAAACGUGUUUCACAGAACACUUGAAAAACGAGUUUCUUCAUUUCACUUAAGCUGCUGAACUUCCCAGAGGCAGAGAUGGGCAUGUCUGCAAAUAAUACACAGGCCAACUCUCUGAAGAGGUGUGUAUCUAACCAUUCGUGCUGGCCUCGCUUCCUAGUUCGCUGUUUGCUGCCGAACUCUUACAGUGCUGAAACGAGCCCAUUGCUUUUAUUUACAGACAGCACCUGGCGGUGAUCAAGGGAAGGGAGAGCGAAAUACAGCCCAUCAUGGUUACAGAGGACUUAACGGAACUUAAACCCUGAGGCCCGCCCCUCAUUUAAGCAGGAUUUAAAUGCUGCCCACCCUGCAUGUAAGUCGAUUUCAUCCCAUUUGCUUCUGUUUAUUCCCCUUAUUUAAAAAUAAGGAUCCUUCUUAUCUGAGCAGCUCUGCGGCGUCAAGUCAGUGAGCAUCUCCAUCAAUCCCAGAGCGUGUUCGUCACCCCAUUUGGACUCGGUAGUUCCACCCCAUGAAACAGCUUCUAUGACUGCCCAAUGACACCAAAAAGCAAAGACCCCCCUCCAAGGGGAGAAGGGAAGGAGAUGACAUCCUAGGUCCAAAACAGACAUGAGUCUUGAGUACCAAGCAACCUCUGACAGAGAGCAGGAGGGAUGGGAAAACCGACAAAGCUGGUGUCGUAGCUGUGAGGAAGAGGCUUUGUGAGUCGAGGACCUUGCUGGGUUUUUUACUGGGGUUGGAUCUCAUUGUCCUUUCCAUGGAAGGAUCUUCCCUGCUUCCUGAAUCUCCCACCCUUGGAAGUGGGAGAGCGCACGAAUGUGUGAGCGCCUUGAAUUCACAGAGCAGGCUGCUCUGCACAAACGUGAGAGAGGCGGUCGGAGCAGCAGUGUCUUGAGGGCUUAUGUCUGCAGCAACUCUGCGUCCUAGAGAGCAGCUGAUGGGGAAGAAGUCUUCUCCGGCAGCUCUCAAGCCCUGGAAUCCUUGGCAGGGGGUGUCCUGCUGGCUUGCCUCGAAUGUGG
Molecule: long non-coding RNA, 1315 nt
Filed under: Gopherus evgoodei (Goodes thornscrub tortoise)
Lineage: Eukaryota; Metazoa; Chordata; Testudines; Testudinidae
Description: lncRNA (ENSGEVG00005014042.1)
Source: RNAcentral